GCCCGUUUGGCUUAGUGGUACAGCGUCUCACUCGUACACAUGCGAUAUGAGAAGAUCCUCGGUUCGAUUCCGAGAAUGGGCA
Molecule: non-coding RNA, 82 nt
Organism: Amniculicola lignicola CBS 123094
Lineage: Eukaryota; Fungi; Ascomycota; Dothideomycetes; Pleosporales; Amniculicolaceae
Source: the annotation of a GenBank genome assembly